This 463-nucleotide ribosomal RNA is filed under the name uncultured bacterium. Its description in RNAcentral is "bacterial SSU rRNA". It matches the Rfam family "Bacterial small subunit ribosomal RNA", at positions 338 to 814 of the family's 1533-position model. The record is from RNAcentral.
CCUACGGGAGGCAGCAGUGGGGAAUUUUCCGCAAUGGGCGAAAGCCUGACGGAGCAAUACCGCGUGAGGGAAGACUGCCUAUGGGUUGUAAACCUCUUUUUUCAGGGAGGAAUAAAAUGACGUGUACCUGAAGAAUAAGCAUCGGCUAACUCCGUGCCAGCAGCCGCGGUAAGACGGAGGAUGCAAGUGUUAUCCGGAAUCACUGGGCGUAAAGCGUCUGUAGGUGGUUUAAUAAGUCAACUGUUAAAUCUUGAGGCUCAACUUCAAAAUCGCAGUCGAAACUAUUAGACUAGAGUAUAGUAGAGGUAAAGGGAAUUUCCAGUGGAGCGGUGAAAUGCGUAGAUAUUGGAAAGAACACCGAUGGCGAAAGCACUUUACUGGGCUAUUACUAACACUCAGAGACGAAAGCUAGGGUAGCAAAUGGGAUUAGAUACCCCAGUAGUCCUAGCCGUAAACUAUGGAU